AGAAACAUAAAAAUCUUAUAACCCUCUUGGGUUGCCUGUAAAAUGGCAUCAAAAUGCCUUGUGUGGGGGGACCUCUUUUUCAGCCAUAAAAAUAAUCUCUUCCAAUAGAUCUUCUUCCCUUUUUAGAUUUGAGAUCCAAGCUUGAAAUUCAACAACAACAACAACAACAACUACCCAGUAUAGUCCCACAAAGUGGGGUCUGGGGAGAGUAAUAUGUGGACGAGUCUUACCCCUACCCGAAAGGGCAGAGAGGUUGUUUCCAAUCAAUAUGCCGCCAGAACAAAGCCACAAGAAAUCGAUCCUCAGAUCUCUGCCCUUGUAGCUGAAAGAAGAG
Molecule: long non-coding RNA, 334 nt
Filed under: Nicotiana benthamiana
Lineage: Eukaryota; Viridiplantae; Streptophyta; Magnoliopsida; Solanales; Solanaceae
Description: long non-coding RNA (NBEN_LNC032123)
Source: RNAcentral